AGACCUUAUUCGCUUAAUCUGCUAAACAGAGCGGGGGAACCAAUUGGGCCAAUUUUACUUGGCCUUGGGGUGAAUCUUACUUAGUAAGAAGGGAUACUCUCAGUCCCUAAUCCGACAGCUAACCUCGUCAGCGUUUUAUUGGAGAGAA
RNAcentral lists this small RNA (148 nucleotides) under Halalkalibacter akibai. Its description in RNAcentral is "Bacillus akibai c-di-AMP sequence". It matches the Rfam family "c-di-AMP riboswitch aptamer (ydaO/yuaA leader)". Rfam says of the family: This family represents a conserved RNA structure found upstream of the ydaO and yuaA genes in Bacillus subtilis and related genes in other bacteria. The ydaO/yuaA element is thought to act as a genetic "off" switch for the ydaO and yuaA genes in its native state. Lineage: Bacteria; Bacillati; Bacillota; Bacilli; Caryophanales; Bacillaceae. The record is from RNAcentral. RNAcentral also lists the same sequence under 1 other name.